Non-coding RNA from Chelonoidis abingdonii (Abingdon island giant tortoise), 255 nucleotides. The record is from RefSeq and is a predicted model, not a curated record. NCBI's taxonomy places the organism in Eukaryota, Metazoa, Chordata, Testudines, Testudinidae.
UUCAGUUUCUGCAGUUAAGUGAACGUCAACAUGCAACACUUUCAAACCAAUGAGUGUAACACCAAUUCUCAAAUCUCAUCCCAUCACUGAAAGCUUCUGGCAGCCCAACACCUGUGUACAUUAGUGCAGGAAUUAAAUUCUAGGCUUGCAUUAACACACUAGUAAAGUAAUCUGUAUUUUGGCAGCAAAGGAAAGAGCAAAGUACCAAAGCUUUAAACUUUUGUACUCUCUCUCCUAUAGCCCAGUACAUUUUAU